AUACGUAGGGGGCGAGCGUUGUCCGGAAUGAUUGGGCGUAAAGGGCGCGUAGGCGGCCUGUUAAGUCUGGAGUGAAAGUCCUGUUUUCAAGAUGGGAAUUGCUUUGGAUACUGAUGGGCUUGAGUGCAGGAGAGGUUAUCGGAAUUCCCGGUGUAGCGGUGAAAUGCGUAGAGAUCGGGAGGAACACCAGUGGCGAAGGCGGGUAACUGGACUGCAACUGACGCUGAGGCGCGAAAGUGUGGGGAGCAAACAGGAUUAGAUGCCCUGGUAGUCCACACGGUAAACGAUGAAUGCUAGGUGUAAGAGGUAUCGACCCCUUUUGUGCCGGAGUUAACACAAUAAGCAUUCCGCCUGGGGAGUACGGCCGCAAGGUUGAAACUCAAAGGAAUUGACGGGG
RNAcentral lists this ribosomal RNA (397 nucleotides) under uncultured bacterium. RNAcentral's name for it is "partial 16S ribosomal RNA". It matches the Rfam family "Bacterial small subunit ribosomal RNA", at positions 523 to 918 of the family's 1533-position model. The record is from RNAcentral.